Long non-coding RNA from Juglans microcarpa x Juglans regia, 990 nucleotides. RefSeq lists it as uncharacterized. The record is from RefSeq and is a predicted model, not a curated record. NCBI's taxonomy places the organism in Eukaryota, Viridiplantae, Streptophyta, Magnoliopsida, Fagales, Juglandaceae. The transcript is spliced from 3 exons.
CACUUCUGAAACGAAUUUAUUGAGUUAGUGGUUUACUUUAUCCCAAUGCUGCCGUAUUUGAAAUUAUUUACUUAUUUUUGUUGUGUUCAUACUAUUAUGUUCCAUUGUAGACUGUGGAUAAUGAUCUCACAUUGAAAAUAUGCAUUAAAGCCAGAGCAACUCCAAAAGUCGUUGCUGCUUUUGCUGAAUGGAGGGAAUUUGAUAAAACUUUGAUAUAUUCAAAACAUGUGAAGAUAUUCUUUUUCUUUUAAUCAUUGUUGAUAUUGUGAUUUAUUGCAUUACUGUUAUUAUUAUAUUAUUUAUAAUUUAUUUUCGUAUACUUAUUUCAUGGUUUGAUCAUGUCAUUGUUUCUCUAUUGCUUUAGGUUGGGUACAAUCCAGAUUAUCUAUUCCUUCUACAGACAAUUUUUCGUUCAGAUCCUCAGGGAGUUGUUAAUUUUGCACUAAUGAUGUCUCAAAUGGAGGGAGGUUGUCCAGUUGAUUACAAUACCAUAACGGAUCUCUUUCUUAGAUGAACUUGAUCCGUGACGCGACAGCUUUUCAAUUAGAUGUUUUGAAGCCAAAUCUUCUUAAUAUAGGUAUAGGAAAUCAAUCUGGUAACUUUUCCAAAUGUAGCUGAUGCUAUAUUAGCUAAUGGAAUGUUCAGCCAUUAUGACCGUCCUCAAAUUGCCCAACUUCGUGAAAAGGCCGGUCUUUAUGUGCGAGCUCGGCAAGUAAUGUCCUCUUGAGGCAAAGAUGAAGGGACGAACAAAGGUUGAUUUAGAUAUUUAUAUUGUCGUUUUCUAUUCAAAUUUAUAAUAAUCAUUUAGACAGCAAAUGUAAAUAGUUUGAUGGCAGAUUACAGAAUAAAUUUCAUUCUAUCAUGUUUUAUCUGAUGACAUAGAUUCUAUGAUGAUGAAGGUAGUUACACACUUUAUACUAAUAACUUUCAACAAUUAUAUUAUGACAAGCUAAUUGUGAUUUUCUGCCCAAUGAAUCAGCAGGUAUGAUA